Molecule: ribosomal RNA, 357 nt
Filed under: uncultured bacterium
Lineage: Bacteria
Description: bacterial SSU rRNA
Rfam family: Bacterial small subunit ribosomal RNA
Source: RNAcentral
ACCAGGGCUUCGGCCCUGGGGACAGCGGCGAACGGGUGAGUAACACGUGAGUAAUCUGCCCUCGGCACCGGGAUAGCCCGGGGAAACCCGGAUUAAUACCGGAUAGCCUCCGAAGCCUUCGGGCGUCGGAGCAAAGGUAGCUUUGGCCUCUGGCCGAGGAUGAGCUCGCGGCGGAUUAGCUUGUUGGUGGGGUAAUGGCCCACCAAGGCGACGAUCCGUAGCUGGUCUGAGAGGACGAUCAGCCACACUGGGACUGAGACACGGCCCAGACUCCUACGGGAGGCAGCAGUGGGGAAUCUUGCGCAAUGGGCGAAAGCCUGACGCAGCGACGCCGCGUGCGGGAAGAAGGCCUUCGGG